RNAcentral lists this transfer RNA (76 nucleotides) under Burkholderiales bacterium. RNAcentral describes it as "tRNA-Lys". It matches the Rfam family "tRNA". From Rfam's summary of the family: Transfer RNA (tRNA) molecules are approximately 80 nucleotides in length. Their secondary structure includes four short double-helical elements and three loops (D, anti-codon, and T loops). RNAcentral also lists the same sequence under 1 other name. Lineage: Bacteria; Pseudomonadati; Pseudomonadota; Betaproteobacteria; Burkholderiales. The record is from RNAcentral.
GGGACCAUAGCUCAGUUGGUAGAGCAGCGGACUUUUAAUCCGUUGGUCGUGGGUUCGAAUCCCCCUGGUCCUACCA